Long non-coding RNA from Ictalurus punctatus (channel catfish), 380 nucleotides. The record is from Ensembl. NCBI's taxonomy places the organism in Eukaryota, Metazoa, Chordata, Actinopteri, Siluriformes, Ictaluridae.
CCCUUAUAACUGGCUCUCUUCAUGGUUCUCUUAAAAUUUAGGCCUCCCUUGCGAGACGAGAAUCUUCACCAUCUGAAUCAUGAGUGCCGGUGCCCGUCGUCAGUCCCUUCUCUCUCCGUUACUGGACCUGGAUCUGGAUCUCGAUCUGGACACUCAUUACCAGCUUGUGCAUCUCACUGCUGAUAUCAUGAUGCUACUUAACUAUCUUCGCAGCACCCGCUCUAGGAAUGGAGAUCCGGGGUUCCCCCCUCUUCUUCGAUACAGAAUCUGCCUACAGCAUCUACAGCAAUCUACAGCAAAUGACCUCGCACUCACCAGGCAGUACUGGCCAUUCUCUUCUACGGAAAGUAGCUAAGUCCAACGGAUCUGACGCACUGAAG